GGCGAUGUGCCCAAUGGAUAUGGCAUCGGUCUACGGAACCGGGAAUCCUGGGUUCAAGUCACAGCGUUGUCU
This is a transfer RNA of Gregarina niphandrodes, 72 nucleotides long. It matches the Rfam family "tRNA". From Rfam's summary of the family: Transfer RNA (tRNA) molecules are approximately 80 nucleotides in length. Their secondary structure includes four short double-helical elements and three loops (D, anti-codon, and T loops). Lineage: Eukaryota; Apicomplexa; Conoidasida; Eugregarinorida; Gregarinidae. The record is from Rfam.